This 642-nucleotide ribosomal RNA is filed under the name Triticum aestivum (bread wheat). Its description in RNAcentral is "partial small subunit ribosomal RNA". Lineage: Eukaryota; Viridiplantae; Streptophyta; Magnoliopsida; Poales; Poaceae. The record is from RNAcentral.
AUGAUCCCCUGCUUCAGAUUGCUGGUACGUGACGGACCCCGGCUUCGAACCAGGCGAGACGUAGACCCUGCAGAGGACGCGCUCCUCCCCCUUGUCGUCGACGGCGAACUGGUCCAGGCCGCAGAUGUGGUACUCCUCCAUCAACCAAUCCGACUCUUUGCUCGUGUCCUUGUACGCGUAGCGAAGGGUGUCGAGGAAGCCGAUCGUCUCGCCGGCGUCGUUCUGAACCGUCUUCUUGCCGUUCGAAGCCCAUCCGCCGGCGCCGGCGCCGGCCGCGCGCGAGAUCCUGUAGCCACGCCCGGCUUUCUGCCGCUUGCACGUGGUGAAGAAGAAGCGGUUAUGGGUUGUGGGAACCCGAGGGAACGCGGCGGCAAGGUCCUUGGGCUCCGAUGCGUAAACCCUUGCCUCGUGGAUGACGCCGGCUGUGUCCGGCAGCUGCUGGCGGAGGACCCAGCGCCGGAGGUAGAAGCCGAUGGCCUCCUCGGGCGUCGGGUUGAACUUGAUGCCGCAGCGGAGCGCAGCGUGGGCGACGGCUGUCCCCAUCGUUUCGUAGCAGAUCGUAAGAGCGUAAACAGGCAGGUUGCUGGCCCGACCUGCUACAUAUCUAUGCUGCGAUCGGCUGGCGAUGGCCGAGUAGAGUAG